RNAcentral lists this ribosomal RNA (262 nucleotides) under uncultured bacterium. Its description in RNAcentral is "partial 16S ribosomal RNA". It matches the Rfam family "Bacterial small subunit ribosomal RNA", at positions 524 to 776 of the family's 1533-position model. The record is from RNAcentral.
UACAGAGGUGCCAAGCGUUAGGCGGAAUCUGACUGGGCUUGAAAGCGCGUGUCAGGUGGGUCGUUAAGGUGUCCGACGUGGAAAUCCCACGGCCUCAACCGUGGAACUCGCCGGGCAUGACUGGCGAUCGUUGAGGCAUUCAGGGGCUAGCGGAACAAAUGGUGGAGCGGUGAAAUGCGUAGAUAUCAGUUGGAACGCCAUGGUGAAACGCUCGCUGGGAAUGAUCUGACACUGAGACGCGAAAGCCAGGGAGGCGAACGGG